AUUGAACGCUGGCGGCAUGCUUUACACAUGCAAGUCGAACGGGGGUAGCAAUACCCUAGUGGCGAACGGGUGAGUAAUGCAUCGGAACGUGUCCCGUAGUGGGGGAUAGCCCGGCGAAAGCCGGAUUAAUACCGCAUAUGCUCUACGGAGGAAAGCAGGGGAUCGCAAGACCUUGCGCUAUGGGAGCGGCCGAUGUCCGAUUAGCUAGUUGGUGAGGUAAAGGCUUACCAAGGCGACGAUCGGUAGCUGGUCUGAGAGGAUGAUCAGCCACACUGGGACUGAGACACGGCCCAGACUCCUACGGGAGGCAGCAGUGGGGAAUUUUGGACAAUGGGGGCAACCCUGAUCCAGCCAUGCCGCGUGAGUGAAGAAGGCCUUCGGGUUGUAAAGCUCUUUCGGCCGGAGAGAAAGCCUGUCCGCUAAUACCGGAUGGGGUAAUGACGGUACCUGAAGAAUAAGCACCGGCUAACUACGUGCCAGCCGCCGCCGUAA
RNAcentral lists this ribosomal RNA (492 nucleotides) under uncultured bacterium. Its description in RNAcentral is "partial 16S ribosomal RNA". It matches the Rfam family "Bacterial small subunit ribosomal RNA", at positions 30 to 523 of the family's 1533-position model. The record is from RNAcentral.